RNAcentral lists this ribosomal RNA (396 nucleotides) under Triticum aestivum (bread wheat). RNAcentral's name for it is "partial small subunit ribosomal RNA". Lineage: Eukaryota; Viridiplantae; Streptophyta; Magnoliopsida; Poales; Poaceae. The record is from RNAcentral.
AUUUUGGUAACAUAUGAGGCGGCCUCGGGCCAAAAGGUAAAUUUGCAGAAGUCGUCCAUAUUUUUUGGCAAGGGAUGCCCGGACACCACAAAAGAAGAGCUCAAAUCGGUUUUGGGUGUGUCCUCAGAGGCUCUAAGUGAGAGGUACCUCGGUCUCCCAACACUGGUUGGAAGAUCCAAGGAGGGCACUUUUCAGUAUGUCACAGAGAGCUCAAAAGGAAAAUGUAGUGGCUGGAAGGGUUUAGGUCUUUUCCAAGAAGGCAAGGGAGGUUCUUAUCAAGUCUGGACUCCAAUCCGUGCCUACUUUCACCAUGAGUUGUUUCCACCUCACAAAGAAAACGUGCCGGAAUCUGAAUUCUAUCUCUUCAAAAUUCUGGUGGGGGGCAAAGGAUGGUGA